UACAGAGGGUGCGAGCGUUGUCCGGAAUCACUGGGCGUAAAGGGCGCGUAGGUGGCGCGACAAGUCAGUGGUGAAAGCUCGACGCUCAACGUCGAGUCGGCCACUGAGACUGUGGGCUUGAGCACUGUAGAGGCUAAUGGAAUUCCGGGUGUAGCGGUGGAAUGCGUAGAGAUCCGGAAGAACACCGGUGGCGAAGGCGGUUAGCUGGGCAGUUGCUGACACUGAGGCGCGACAGCGUGGGAGCAACAGG
RNAcentral lists this ribosomal RNA (250 nucleotides) under uncultured bacterium. RNAcentral's name for it is "partial 16S ribosomal RNA". It matches the Rfam family "Bacterial small subunit ribosomal RNA", at positions 524 to 776 of the family's 1533-position model. The record is from RNAcentral.